GGGCUCUAAAUUCCAUGACUGUUGCCCUUAAAACAAGAGGAGAAACACAGACACACAGAGGGAAGAGGGCCUUGUGACCAUGGAGGCACAGGCUGGUGUGACACAGCUACAAUUCAAGAAGAUCCCAAGGACUGCCAAGAGCCCCGAGCAGUUUGGAGGAGACUUUGUUGGUUUUCAAUAUGAGGAUCUAAAAGAAGAAAAGAAGUACAAGAAGAUUCUUGAGUAAAGUCCGUAAGUGAUGAGAAGAUAGGAGCACUGACAGUAUUAGCUUGGAGCAGAAUAAAUAAUAACUUUGGCCCCUCCAGAUAACUUGAACAAGAAAAAUCUAUACCUGUCAUCUCAAGACAAUGGGAUAAGAAGCAACCUAACCAAGGUCAUUCAGAAUUCCAUCAGCGCAGUUGCCUGCCCUAUACUGUAAUGAGUCACAGUCAGAACAUGAGGAUGGGAAUGUGAAGGAAAAACUGAAUUCUUGCCUGCUGUUUGGUGUAUCCGCGAAGAAUGCAAAGGAUGAAGAAGUGGAAGCUGUAAGAAUAUCCAUGAAUUUUUAAAUAUCAGGGCUGGGAGCAGAAACUCACGUAUGUAAUCCUAGCACUUUGGGAGGCCAAGGGAGGCGGACUACAAGGUCAGGAGUUUGAGACCAGCCUGUCCAACAUGGUGAUACCCCAUCACUAUGAAAAAUACAAAAAUUAGCCAGGUGUGGUGGCACAUGCCUGUAAUCCCCGCUACUCAGGAGGCUGAGGUAGGACAAUCACUUGAACCUGGGAGGCAGAGGUUGCAGUGAGCUGAGAUCAUGCCACUGCACUCCAGCCUGGGCAACAGAACAAGACUCCAUCUGAAAAAAAAAAAAAAUCAGAUUGUCUUCCCUCUGCUUUUUAGAAGGCAAAGAGGAAAAAAAGUUUCUUAGCCAACCAGAAGUAAGUUCAAUUAGAACUUUCUUAAUUAGAAUUGGAGAAGUAGCUCAAGAUAAACAAGGAAUAUUUUGUGGCAAGAAAAAAGAAAGCUACAGAUGAAUUUUGGUUAAUGAGGAGAAACCUAACAGAACUCAGGUGAUGGGUCCGUGCAAGGACCUCCAAAUGACCUUGCUAUGCUCAGUAAGCAGAGCAGUUAAGAAAGUCUGUGAAGCCUCUGAACUGGAGAAAAAAGAUAGGAUAUUGUUAAGAAAUGGUAGAGAGAAAACUGCAAACGCCUGGGCAGAGUUCAAUGAAGUCAAGCUGGGGUCAGCACAGCACCUCUGUGACUAUAAAUUAUCUCUUGGCAUCUAGAGUCUGACACUGUGGCUGAGUAGCUUCUACCCUAAAGGAGUAAAUUUCUUUGCGGAAAUUCAGGAGGAAGAUUUAGGCCUCCUGUUGUAAUCUUCAGAAGAGAAACACUUGAACUCCUGAAUGGUGGCAGCAGAAUAGGGUCAAGCAAAGAACGAAAGUAAAUGUUCUCUGUGCGGAGGCUAGAGGCUGGGUUAGUUACAACCGUGAGAGCGUGAAUGCAAAGCAUCAUCUUUGUGCAGGAAGACCUGCAUCUAAGGCAGAAAUAAGCUGUAAAAAACAAAGAAGGCAAAAAAGGAAAGAAAGCUGUUUGACUGCUCUCACUUCAUGUACUCUCAUGUAGCUUAAGAUCAAGAGAGCACUGUAUUUUAGUUACAAAAUACAUAAAAAUCGGAGUAGAUACUCUCAAACCACUCAUUUACAGUGCAGCUCCUUAAAAACAAUGCAGCCAUCAUGUGUGCUCCUAAUCAAAGACUUACGUGGAUAUUUACAGAAGCUGCAGUCUUUUUCAAACUACAUCUUAAGAAAUCCAAAACUGUGUGGCACCGUCUCUGGAGCCCCUGAGCUGUGAAGUAAGUUGGUGCGGGGGCGGGGCAGGGGGAAGGUGUGGAUGGUGAUGAGGGAGAGGGAAAUCAAACAAGCAGGGCUUCAAAUCCUCCUCUGCUUCUUAAAUCAGAAAAGCUUUGCUUUUAUCUGUUUUAUAAAACAGCGAUUCAUGUAAGAUUUCAGUUGAUAAAAGAUACUCUUGGUAAAGUGGGAAAAACAUAAGCAAGACUAGGUUUGAACUUUGUCACUUGCUAUCUACUUACUCUGUGACUUGGGAAAGUUACCUCUCUGAACCUUAGUUUCCUCUUCUAUACAAUGGGAAGAAUAAUAUUUACAAAUGGUUGUAUGAAUAACAUAAAGUAUGUAUAGCACAUACCAUGAGGCUUUAGCACAUAGCAGGCACUAGCUAGUAGUUCCUUUUCUGAAACACGUGAAAUAUAGAUACAGGAUAGACAGACAGGCAGAUGGGUUUGGGGUUUUUUGUUUUUUGGUUUUUUUUUCAUUUUUCAGACAGGAUCUUACUGUGCAGUGGCGCAAUUACUGCAGCCUUCUCCAGCUCGGGUGAUUUUCCUACCUCAGUCUCCUAACUAGCUGGGACUACCGGCAUAUGCCACUAAGCCUGGCUAAUUUUUUUUUAUUUUUAUAGAGACAAGGUCUCACUAUGUUGCCCAGGCUGGUCUCGAACUCCUGAACUCAAGAAAUACACCUGCUUUGGCCUCCAAAGUGCUGGGAUUACAGGCGUCAGCCACCGUGCUUGGCCAAUAGAUGCUUAA
Long non-coding RNA from Callithrix jacchus (white-tufted-ear marmoset), 2578 nucleotides. RefSeq lists it as uncharacterized. Lineage: Eukaryota; Metazoa; Chordata; Mammalia; Primates; Cebidae. The record is from RefSeq and is a predicted model, not a curated record.